RNAcentral lists this ribosomal RNA (404 nucleotides) under uncultured prokaryote. Its description in RNAcentral is "bacterial SSU rRNA". It matches the Rfam family "Bacterial small subunit ribosomal RNA", at positions 355 to 775 of the family's 1533-position model. The record is from RNAcentral.
UCGAGAAUCUUCCGCAAUGGGCGAAAGCCUGACGGAGCGAUGCCGCGUGAGGGAUGAAGGCCUUCGGGUUGUAAACCUCUGUCGCCCGGGACGAAAUUUGACGGUACCGGGAGAGGAAGCUACGGCUAACUACGUGCCAGCAGCCGCGGUAAUACGUAGGUAGCGAGCGUUAUUCGGAUUUACUGGGCGUAAAGGGUGCGCAGGUGGCUGUGUGUGUGAAGUGUGAAAGCCCGGGGCUUAACUCCGGAAUUGCACCUCAAACUACAUGGCUAGAGCAUUGGAGAGGGUAGCAGAAUUCACGGUGUAGCAGUGAAAUGCGUAGAUAUCGUGAGGAAUACCAGAGGCGAAGGCGGCUACCUGGACAAUUGCUGACACUCAAGCACGAAAGCGUGGGGAGCAAAAGG